Molecule: ribosomal RNA, 497 nt
Filed under: uncultured bacterium
Lineage: Bacteria
Description: partial 16S ribosomal RNA
Rfam family: Bacterial small subunit ribosomal RNA
Source: RNAcentral
GAUGAACGCUGGCGGCGUGCCUAAUACAUGCAAGUCGAGCGAACGGACGAGAAGCUUGCUUCUCUGAUGUUAGCGGCGGACGGGUGAGUAACACGUGGAUAACCUACCUAUAAGACUGGGAUAACUUCGGGAAACCGGAGCUAAUACCGGAUAAUAUUUUGAACCGCAUGGUUCAAAAGUGAAAGACGGUCUCGCUGUCACUUAUAGAUGGAUCCGCGCUGCAUUAGCUAGUUGGUAAGGUAACGGCUUACCAAGGCAACGAUGCAUAGCCGACAUGAGAGGGUGAUCGGCCACACUGGAACUGAGACACGGUCCAGACUCCUACGGGAGGCAGCAGUAGGGAAUCUUCCGCAAUGGGCGAAAGCCUGACGGAGCAACGCCGCGUGAGUGAUGAAGGUCUUCGGAUCGUAAAACUCUGUUAUUAGGGAAGAACAUAUGUGUAAGUAACUGUGCACAUCUUGACGGUACCUAAUCAGAAAGCCACGGCUAACUACGUG